AAUGAACGAAAGUUUGACACAGCGACACCGCGUGUGGGAUGACGGAUCUAGGUUUGUAAACCACUUUCAGGAGGGAAGAAAAUGACGGUACCUCCACAAGAAGCCCCGGCCAACUACGUGCCAGCAGCCGCGGUAAUACGUAGGGGGCGAGCGUUGUCCGGAUUUAUUGGGCGUAAAGAGCUCGUAGGCGGUUCAACAAGUCGGUCGUGAAAGUUCAGGGCUCAACCCUGAAAUGCGAUCGAUACUGUUGGACUAGGAUACGGUAGAGGUGAGUGGAAUUCCGAGUGUAGCGGUGAAAUGCGUAGAUAUUCGGAGGAACACCAACUGCGAAGGCAGCUCACUGGACCGCCAUCGACGCUGAGGAGCGAAAGCUAGGGGAGCAGACAGGAUU
This 391-nucleotide ribosomal RNA is filed under the name uncultured Actinomycetes bacterium. RNAcentral describes it as "bacterial SSU rRNA". It matches the Rfam family "Bacterial small subunit ribosomal RNA", at positions 370 to 779 of the family's 1533-position model. Lineage: Bacteria; Bacillati; Actinomycetota; Actinomycetes. The record is from RNAcentral.